GAUUCAUGGCUCAGAACGAACGCUGGCGGCACGCCUAACACAUGCAAGUCGAGCGCACCUUCGGGUGAGCGGCGGACGGGUUAGUAACGCGUGGGAACAUACCCAACACUACGGAAUAGCCUUUGGAAACGAAGAGUAAUACCGUAUACGCCCUUCGGGGGAAAGAUUUAUCGGUGAUGGAUUGGCCCGCGUUAGAUUAGAUAGUUGGUGGGGUAACGGCCUACCAAGUCUACGAUCUAUAGCUGGUUUGAGAGGAUGAUCAGCAACACUGGGACUGAGACACGGCCCAGACUCCUACGGGAGGCAGCAGUGGGGAAUCUUAGACAAUGGGCGCAAGCCUGAUCUAGCGAUGCCGCGUGAGUGACGAAGGCCUUAGGGUCGUAAAGCUCUUUCGCCAGGGAUGAUAAUGACAGUACCUGGUAAAGAAACCCCGGCUAACUCCGUGCCAGCAGCCGCGGUAAUACGGAGGGGGUUAGCGUUGUUCGGAAUUACUGGGCGUAAAGCGCGCGUAGGCGGACUAUUAAGUCAGGGGUGAAAUCCCGGGGCUCAACCCCGGAACUGCCUUUGAUACUGGUAGUCUAGAGUUCGAGAGAGGUGAGUGGAAUUCCAAGUGUAGAGGUGAAAUUCGUAGAUAUUUGGAGGAACACCAGUGGCGAAGGCGGCUCACUGGCUCGAUACUGACGCUGAGGUGCGAAAGUGUGGGGAGCAAACAGGAUUAGAUACCCUGGUAGUCCACACCGUAAACGAUGAAUGCCAGACGUCGGGGGGCUUGCCCUUCGGUGUCACACCUAACGGAUUAAGCAUUCCGCC
This 810-nucleotide ribosomal RNA is filed under the name Loktanella sp. Its description in RNAcentral is "bacterial SSU rRNA". It matches the Rfam family "Bacterial small subunit ribosomal RNA", at positions 15 to 873 of the family's 1533-position model. Lineage: Bacteria; Pseudomonadati; Pseudomonadota; Alphaproteobacteria; Rhodobacterales; Roseobacteraceae. The record is from RNAcentral.